UUUUAAGAAAGGGAAAUUUCAUAAAUUUAGUUUGUUUCAAUUUCUUCAUUAAAAGUUAUCGAAAUCGAAAUACGAUGUUCAAGAUUUUUCAAAGGUCUUGAAUGUUUGACAUUUAGAGUAAGCUGCCACGUGUGCUACAUGAGGAGAUUAGUGAGCUAUUUUCACUUCCCCUCUCAAAGGAAACAGUGUUGGAAGGAUGUUGAGUUUGGAACGCAACUCAACAAAUCUUCCUUCUGUCAAUCACUUCGUUAAACCAUCCACAAGCUGUUUUUCUGAAGGAACAAAGCAAACAUCUAUUUCUUUGUCUAUGAUCAUAUCUCAUACGAAAUGAACAUCCAGCUCAACAUGCUUGCUUCUUGAAUGGAAGUCUGGAUUAGCUGCCAAGGAGAGAGCACUUAUAUUAUCACACCAAAUUAUAGGGAUCGAUAUUCUACUUCCGAACUGAAGCGUGCUACAACAUGUUGUUUCUUUACUGAAGACACAAUAAGCUGAAAUUAAUCAUCUAUCAUCAAGGUCGCAUCCCCAAUCUACAUCUGAGUAGCUUGUAAUCUGCAAAUUACUAUAUUUGGGUAUGUGAAGUUCAUGACUAUUAGUACCUUUUAAAUAUCUCAAUACUCUAUUCACUGCCUUCCAUUGUGUGAUAGUUGGAUGUUGUAGAAAUUGAUUGAGUUUGUUGAUUAUGUAUAAGAUUUCUAGCCUCUUAUGAGUAAUAUAUUGUAAAG
Benincasa hispida (wax gourd) is the source of this 722-nucleotide non-coding RNA. The record is from RefSeq and is a predicted model, not a curated record. NCBI's taxonomy places the organism in Eukaryota, Viridiplantae, Streptophyta, Magnoliopsida, Cucurbitales, Cucurbitaceae.